ACUCCUACGGGAGGCAGCAGUGGGGAAUCUUGCACAAUGGGCGAAAGCCUGAUGCAGCGACGCCGCGUGAGCGAUGAAGCCCUUCGGGGUGUAAAGCUCUUUCGACGGGAACGAUAAUGACGGUACCCGGAGAAGAAGCUGCGGCUAACUACGUGCCAGCAGCCGCGGUAAUACGUAGGCAGCGAGCGUUGUUCGGAAUUACUGGGCGUAAAGAGUGUGUAGGCGGUGUUCCCAGUCUGUUGUGAAAUCUCCCGGCUUAACUGGGAGGGUGCAGCGGAAACUAGAAUGCUAGAGGGUGGGAGAGGUAAGCGGAAUUCCUGGUGUAGCGGUGAAAUGCGUAGAUAUCAGGAGGAACACCUGUGGUGUAGACAGCUUACUGGACCACUUCUGACGCUGAGACACGAAAGCGUGGGUAGCAAACAGGAUUAGAUACCCUGGUAGUCCACGCCCUAAACGAUGCAU
RNAcentral lists this ribosomal RNA (462 nucleotides) under uncultured bacterium. RNAcentral describes it as "bacterial SSU rRNA". It matches the Rfam family "Bacterial small subunit ribosomal RNA", at positions 335 to 814 of the family's 1533-position model. The record is from RNAcentral.